RNAcentral lists this ribosomal RNA (579 nucleotides) under uncultured bacterium. RNAcentral's name for it is "bacterial SSU rRNA". It matches the Rfam family "Bacterial small subunit ribosomal RNA", at positions 102 to 677 of the family's 1533-position model. The record is from RNAcentral.
ACGGGUGAGUAAUGUCUGGGGAUCUGCCCGAUAGAGGGGGAUAACCACUGGAAACGGUGGCUAAUACCGCAUAACGUCGCAAGACCAAGGAGGGGGACCUUCGGGCCUCUCACUAUCGGAUGAACCCAGAUGGGAUUAGCUAGUAGGCGGGGUAACGGCCCACCUAGGCGACGAUCCCUAGCUGGUCUGAGAGGAUGACCAGCCACACUGGAACUGAGACACGGUCCAGACUCCUACGGGAGGCAGCAGUGGGGAAUAUUGCACAAUGGGCGCAAGCCUGAUGCAGCCAUGCCGCGUGUAUGAAGAAGGCCUUCGGGUUGUAAAGUACUUUCAGCGGGGAGGAAGGCAGUGAGGUUAAUAACCUUACUGAUUGACGUUACCCGCAGAAGAAGCACCGGCUAACUCCGUGCCAGCAGCCGCGGUAAUACGGAGGGUGCAAGCGUUAAUCGGAAUUACUGGGCGUAAAGCGCACGCAGGCGGUCUGUUAAGUCAGAUGUGAAAUCCCCGGGCUUAACCUGGGAACUGCAUUUGAAACUGGCAGGCUUGAGUCUCGUAGAGGGGGGUAGAAUUCCAGGUGUA